GUGGGGAAUAUUGGACAAUGGGCGAAAGCCUGAUCCAGCAAUGCCGCGUGAGUGAUGAAGGCCUUAGGGUUGUAAAGCUCUUUUACCAGGGAUGAUAAUGACAGUACCUGGAGAAUAAGCUCCGGCUAACUCCGUGCCAGCAGCCGCGGUAAUACGGAGGGAGCUAGCGUUGUUCGGAAUUACUGGGCGUAAAGCGCGCGUAGGCGGUUUAUCAAGUCAGGGGUGAAAUCCCGGGGCUCAACCCCGGAACUGCCCUUGAAACUGGUUCACUAGAAUCCUGGAGAGGCGAGUGGAAUUCCGAGUGUAGAGGUGAAAUUCGUAGAUAUUCGGAAGAACACCAGUGGCGAAGGCGACUCGCUGGACAGGUAUUGACGCUGAGGUGCGAAAGCGUGGGGAGCAAACAGGAUUAGAUACCCCGGUAGUCC
RNAcentral lists this ribosomal RNA (425 nucleotides) under uncultured bacterium. RNAcentral's name for it is "partial 16S ribosomal RNA". It matches the Rfam family "Bacterial small subunit ribosomal RNA", at positions 354 to 796 of the family's 1533-position model. The record is from RNAcentral.